GACGAACGCUGGCGGCGUGCUUAACACAUGCAAGUCGAACGGAAAGGCCCUGCUUUUGUGGGGUGCUCGAGUGGCGAACGUGUGAGUAACACGUGAGUAACCUGCCCUUGACUUUGGGAUAACUUCAGGAAACUGGGGCUAAUACCGGAUAGGAGCUCCUGCUGCAUGGUGGGGGUUGGAAAGUUUCGGCGGUUGGGGAUGGACUCGCGGCUUAUCAGCUUGUUGGUGGGGUAGUGGCUUACCAAGGCUUUGACGGGUAGCCGGCCUGAGAGGGUGACCGGCCACAUUGGGACUGAGAUACGGCCCAGACUCCUACGGGAGGCAGCAGUGGGGAAUAUUGCACAAUGGGCGGAAGCCUGAUGCAGCAACGCCGCGUGCGGGAUGACGGCCUUCGGGUUGUAAACCGUUUUCGCCUGUGACGAAGCGUGAGUGACGGUAAUGGGUAAAGAAGCACCGGCUAACUACGUG
This 468-nucleotide ribosomal RNA is filed under the name uncultured bacterium. RNAcentral's name for it is "partial 16S ribosomal RNA". It matches the Rfam family "Bacterial small subunit ribosomal RNA", at positions 28 to 507 of the family's 1533-position model. The record is from RNAcentral.